GAUGAACGCUGGCGGCGUGCCUAAUACAUGCAAGUCGAGCGAACGGACGAGAAGCUUGCUUCUCUGAUGUUAGCGGCGGACGGGUGAGUAACACGUGUAUAACCUCCCUAUAAGACUGGGAUAACUUCGGGAAACCGGCGCUAAUACCGGAUAAUAUUUUGAACCGCAUGGUUCAAUAGUGAAAGACGGUCUUUCUGUCACUUAUAGAUGGAUCCGCGCUGCAUUAGCUAGUUGGUAAGGUAACGGCUUACCAAGGCAACGAUGCGUAGCCGACCUGAGAGGGGGAUAGGCCACACUGGAACUGAGACACGGUCAAGACGCCUAAGGGAGGCAGCAGUAGGGAAUCGGCCGCAAUGGGCGAAAGCCUGACGGAGCAACGCGGCGUGAGUGAUGAAGGUCUUCGGAUCGUAAAAAUCUGUUAUUAGGGAAGAACAUAUGUGGAAGUAACUGUGCACAUCUUGACGGUACCGAAUCAGAAAGCCACGGCUAACUACGUG
This 497-nucleotide ribosomal RNA is filed under the name uncultured bacterium. Its description in RNAcentral is "partial 16S ribosomal RNA". It matches the Rfam family "Bacterial small subunit ribosomal RNA", at positions 28 to 507 of the family's 1533-position model. The record is from RNAcentral.